AUAAAACGCGUUUACAAUAAAAAAAAAACAAUUUUCUAACACAAAAAUACAUGGAAGAAAAAUAGCAAAUAAAACGGCACACAAUUUUUCUGUUCUCACACAAAUUAAAGCCAUAAAAGCGGAAACGAUGAUUCGCGGUAAAAAUCAAAGCGAAUUGAAUUAAAGAUUUCGAACUUGAAUGUCCAGUGUUAUCGGACGAGAAAAAAAACAGCAUAAAAAUAAACUAAGAUUGAAAACAUAAAAAUUUUGUGUAAAAUGCAUGGAGUGCAAUGCACAAUCUCAAGUUUUUAUGCUGAACUGAAAAAUUAAGUGAAUCAGCAGCAGUGCAGCAAGCAGACGAAACGACAAGGCAGCGCGCAAGUGAAGUAGCAGCGAAAUAAAUUCAAAAUCUGCGUCUGAAUAAUGCACACACAAAUACGUAUUUUUGUGGACAUUGACCUAAAUUAAGAAAAAUUAAUACUUCUGAGAAAAGAAUUUAUGCGGAAAGUAACAGAAAUGGAAGUGCAGCAAGAUGUCGAUAAUACGAGCGCACUUGAAAAUCUUUUAUGAAAAUCUGAAAACAACAAGCACUGAAAGCUGAAUAAUAAUGGCACUCAGAGUAGUUCGGCGCAAAAAACAUUUUCAAAAAUUAAAGUAAAUUUAAUGAAAUAUAUUUUUUCGCGAAAUUGGCAAAACUGUGUUCGGCACGAAAAAACAAAACAAA
This is a long non-coding RNA of Rhagoletis zephyria (snowberry fruit fly), 703 nucleotides long. RefSeq lists it as uncharacterized. The record is from RefSeq and is a predicted model, not a curated record. Lineage: Eukaryota; Metazoa; Arthropoda; Insecta; Diptera; Tephritidae.